RNAcentral lists this ribosomal RNA (393 nucleotides) under Triticum aestivum (bread wheat). Its description in RNAcentral is "partial small subunit ribosomal RNA". The record is from RNAcentral. Lineage: Eukaryota; Viridiplantae; Streptophyta; Magnoliopsida; Poales; Poaceae.
AUGAUUGUGAAGAAGAAGUUGAAGCUUCCUCCGUUUUUGACUAGUGAAGCUCACUCGCUGCUGAAAAGGGCAUGUUUUCCAGCUUGUUUUUGUCUGAAAAAAAUAACAAUAUUUCAGUUGCUGCACAAAGAAGCCGGCAAGCGGCUGGGAACCGGACCCGGCGGCAGCGACGAGAUAAAGAAGCACAAGUGGUUCAAGCCGAUCAACUGGAGGAAGAUGGACGCCCGGGAGAUCCAGGCGAGCAUCUGGCCUGACCUGCAUCGCCAAUUUCGACGUGUGCCGGAACAACACACCCGUGCUGGACUCCCCGGCGGCCACCCCCGUCACUGCCGGCGGCGGGCAAGGCAACUUCGCGGGGUUCACCUACGUCAGGCCCGCGCCGUUCCUCCGUGA